Molecule: long non-coding RNA, 758 nt
Filed under: Rattus norvegicus (Norway rat)
Lineage: Eukaryota; Metazoa; Chordata; Mammalia; Rodentia; Muridae
Description: long non-coding RNA NONRATT011931
Source: RNAcentral
GGAAUCCACUUGGCAUUUAGGUGCAACAUUGCCAAAGAAGGAGAUGUUCACAGUACAUUUGAAGAGAUGGAGAAACAUUUAGGUCCAGUAAAUUUCUUGGUAAAUGCAGCUGGUAUUAACAGGUUGGUCAAAGAUUGGGGUGAAUUUCUGAUACCUGUUUUAAAAGAUUCUUUUCUUAAUAUGUUCAUGGCUUAGUGUCUUUUUUUCCAUUGCUAUUACAAAAUGUCACAACCAAAGGCUAUAUAUAAAACAAAGUGUCCAAUUGAGGUUAUGGUUUCAGAGUGUUAAAGCCAUGUUGGUGGAGUAAAGCCACCCUAGUAGCAACAGCCAGGAACUUGUACUGAGAACUGCGUCUGGGAGGCAGGGGUAGGGCACAGGGGAAAUAGAGCCAGUCUUUGAAACCUCAGAGCCCACUCCCAGUGACAUACCUCCUCCAACAAGCCAUUCUCCCUACUCUUUCCCAAGCUUGGUCCUAAACUGGGGCCAAGAAUUCAAAUAUAUGAGCUAUGGAGACCAUUUUCAUCCAGAACACCACAAUUAGUAUGAUACAAUAUAUUAGGCUAUUUUAUUUCUAACUGGAAAGACUUAUUUCAAAAAUCGUCAAUCUAUACAUUCUUUUAUUUAAAUGAUGUGUGUGUGUGUGUGUGUGUGUGUGUGUGUGUAUCUUCAUGUUAGUAUAUGCAGAUACAUGUAUCCCCCAGAAGCUAAAGAGGGCAUCAAAUCCCCUAGAGAUGGUGAUACAGGCGCCUGUGAGCUAC